This 502-nucleotide ribosomal RNA is filed under the name uncultured bacterium. RNAcentral describes it as "bacterial SSU rRNA". It matches the Rfam family "Bacterial small subunit ribosomal RNA", at positions 8 to 507 of the family's 1533-position model. The record is from RNAcentral.
AGAGUUUGAUCCUGGCUCAGAUUGAACGCUGGCGGCAUGCUUUACACAUGCAAGUCGAACGGCAGCACGGGGCAACCUGGUGGCGAGUGGCGAACGGGUGAGUAAUAUAUCGGAACAUGUCCGGAAGUGGGGGAUAACGUAGCGAAAGUUACGCUAAUACCGCAUAUGCCCUGAGGGGGAAAGGAGGGGAUCGUAAGACCUUUCGCUUUCGGAGUGGCCGAUAUCAGAUUAGCUAGUUGGUGGGGUAAAGGCCUACCAAGGCAACGAUCUGUAGCUGGUCUGAGAGGACGACCAGCCACACUGGGACUGAGACACGGCCCAGACUCCUACGGGAGGCAGCAGUGGGGAAUUUUGGACAAUGGGGGCAACCCUGAUCCAGCCAUGCCGCGUGAGUGAAGAAGGCCUUCGGGUUGUAAAGCUCUUUCAGCCGGAAAGAAAUCGUGCAACCUAAUACGUUGCAUGGAUGACGGUACCGGAAGAAGAAGCACCGGCUAACUACGUG